AAACUUUCAACAACGGAUCUCUUGGUUCUAGCAUCGAUGAAGAACGCAGCGAAAUGCGAUAAGUAAUGUGAAUUGCAGAAUUCAGUGAAUCAUCGAAUCUUUGAACGCACAUUGCGCCCGCUAGUAUCCUGGCGGGCAUGCCUGUUCGAGCGUCAUUU
RNAcentral lists this ribosomal RNA (158 nucleotides) under Serenomyces phoenicis. Its description in RNAcentral is "5.8S ribosomal RNA". It matches the Rfam family "5.8S ribosomal RNA". Rfam says of the family: 5.8S ribosomal RNA (5.8S rRNA) is a component of the large subunit of the eukaryotic ribosome. It is transcribed by RNA polymerase I as part of the 45S precursor that also contains 18S and 28S rRNA. RNAcentral also lists the same sequence under 1 other name. The record is from RNAcentral. Lineage: Eukaryota; Fungi; Ascomycota; Sordariomycetes; Phyllachorales; Phaeochoraceae.